RNAcentral lists this ribosomal RNA (496 nucleotides) under uncultured bacterium. RNAcentral describes it as "partial 16S ribosomal RNA". It matches the Rfam family "Bacterial small subunit ribosomal RNA", at positions 29 to 507 of the family's 1533-position model. The record is from RNAcentral.
AUGCACGCUGGCGGCGUGCCUCAUACAUGCAAGUCGAGCGAACGGACGAGAAGCUUGCUUCUCUGAUGUUAGCGGCGGACGGGUGAGUAACACGUGGAUAACCUACCUAUAAGACUGGGAUAACUUCGGGAAACCGGAGCUAAUACCGGAUAAUAUUUUGAACCGCAUGGUUCAAAAGUGAAAGACGGUCUUGCUGUCACUUAUAGAUGGAUCCGCGCUGCAUUAGCUAGUUGGUAAGGUAACGACUUACCAAGGCAACGAUGCAUAGCCGACCUGAGAGGGUGAUCGGCCACACUGGAACUGAGACACGGUCCAGACUCCUACGGGAGGCAGCAGUAGGGAAUCUUCCGCAAUGGGCGAAAGCCUGACGGAGCAACGCCGCGUGAGUGAUGAAGGUCUUCGGAUCGUAAAACUCUGUUAUUAGGGAAGAACAUAUGUGUAAGUAACUGUGCACAUCUUGACGGUACCUAAUCAGAAAGCCACGGCUAACUACGUG